RNAcentral lists this ribosomal RNA (398 nucleotides) under uncultured bacterium. RNAcentral describes it as "bacterial SSU rRNA". It matches the Rfam family "Bacterial small subunit ribosomal RNA", at positions 93 to 487 of the family's 1533-position model. The record is from RNAcentral.
UAGCGGCGGACGGGUGAGUAAUGCCUAGGAAUCUGCCUGGUAGUGGGGGAUAACGUUCCGAAAGGAACGCUAAUACCGCGUACGUCCUACGGGAGAAAGCAGGGGACCUUCGGGCCUUGCGCUAUCAGAUGAGCCUAGGUCGGAUUAGCUAGUUGGUGAGGUAAUGGCUCACCAAGGCGACGAUCCGUAACUGGUCUGAGAGGAUGAUCAGUCACACUGGAACUGAGACACGGUCCAGACUCCUACGGGAGGCAGCAGUGGGGAAUAUUGGACAAUGGGCGAAAGCCUGAUCCAGCCAUGCCGCGUGUGUGAAGAAGGUCUUCGGAUUGUAAAGCACUUUAAGUUGGGAGGAAGGGCAUUAACCUAAUACGUUAGUGUUUUGACGUUACCGACAGAAU